GACGAACGCUGGCGGCGUGCUUAACACAUGCAAGUCGAACGGAAAGGCCCUGCUUUUGUUGGGUGCUCGAGUGGCGAACGGGUGAGUAACACGUGAGUAACCUGCCCUUGACUUUGGGAUAACUUCAGGAAACUGGGGCUAAUACCGGAUAGGAGCUCCUGCUGCAUGGUGGGGGUUGGAAAGUUUCGGCGGUUGGGGAUGGACUCGCGGCUUAUCAGCUUGUUGGUGGGGUAGUGGCUUACCAAGGCUUUGACGGGUAGCCGGCAUGAGAGGGUGACCGGCCACAUUGGGACUGAGAUACGGCGCAGACUGCUACGUGAGGCAGCAGUGGGGAAUAUGGCAGAAUGGGCGGAAGCCUGAUGCAGCAACGCCGCGUGCGGGAUGACGGCCUUCGGGUGGUAAACCGCUUUCGCCUGUGACGAAGCGUGAGUGACGGUAAUGGGUAAAGAAGCACCGGCUAACUACGUG
RNAcentral lists this ribosomal RNA (468 nucleotides) under uncultured bacterium. Its description in RNAcentral is "partial 16S ribosomal RNA". It matches the Rfam family "Bacterial small subunit ribosomal RNA", at positions 28 to 507 of the family's 1533-position model. The record is from RNAcentral.